GAUGAACGCUAGCGGCAGGCCUAACACAUGCAAGUCGAGGGGUAGCAGGAUUAAGCUUGCUUAAUUGCUGACGACCGGCGCGCGGGUGCGUAACGCGUAUACAACCUACCUUAUACUGGGGUAUAGCCCGGAGAAAUUCGGAUUAAUCCCCCAUAGUACUAAUGAAUCGCAUGGUUUAUUAGUUAAAGCAUUGCGGUAUAAGAUGGGCAUGCGUCCUAUUAGCUAGAUGGUGAGGUAACGGCUCACCAUGGCUACGAUAGGUAGGGGGCCUGAGAGGGUGGUCCCCCACACUGGUACUGAGACACGGACCAGACUCCUACGGGAGGCAGCAGUGAGGAAUAUUGGUCAAUGGGCGCAAGCCUGAACCAGCCAUGCCGCGUGCAGGAAGAAUGCCCUAUGGGUCGUAAACUGCUUUUAUUUGGGAAUAAACCUCUUUACGUGUAGAGAGCUGAAGGCACCAAAUGAAUAAGCACCGGCUAACUCCGUGCCAGCCGCCGCCGUAA
RNAcentral lists this ribosomal RNA (503 nucleotides) under uncultured bacterium. RNAcentral describes it as "partial 16S ribosomal RNA". It matches the Rfam family "Bacterial small subunit ribosomal RNA", at positions 28 to 523 of the family's 1533-position model. The record is from RNAcentral.